GAGGCAGAGAUGCGUAUCCGAUGGACAGUAGGUUUAAGAUUCCUGCACCCCUUGUUAUCAGAACUGCGGGGACACGGGAAGGGAAGCAGAGCCGGGAAUGGAAAGCCCGGUGCAAGCGAAGUAGUCGCAGGGUUGGAAAAUCCGCCCUGCAUGAGACGAAGGCGUGAUGCGGAGCGAAAUGAAGUAGUGAAGCUGCGGCCCCUUCCUGUCGAGAAAAGCCGCUAUCGUGUAGCAAGGGCCCGUACCGUAAACCGACACAGGUGGAUGAGGAGAGGAUCCUAAGGCCGGCGGAAGAAGUGUUGUUAAGGAACUCGGCAAAAUGACUCCGUAACUUCGGGAGAAGGAGUGCUGCGCAAGCAGCCGCAGAGAAAUGGCCCAAGCAACUGUUUAGCAAAAACACAGGUCUAUGCGAAACCGAAAGGUGAGGUAUAUGGGCUGACGCCUGCCCGGUGCUGGAAGGUUAAGGGGAGAGCUUAGCGCAAGCGAAGGUUUGAACUUAAGCCCCAGUAAACGGCGGCCGUAACGAUAACGGUCCUAAGGUAGCGAAAUUCCUUGUCGGGUAAGUUCCGACCCGCACGAAAGGCGUAAUGAUUUGGGCACUGUCUCAACAACACACCCGGUGAAAUUGAAAUACCAGUGAAGAUGCUGGUUACCCGCGCCAGGACGGAAAGACCCCAUGGAGCUUUACUCCAGCCUGAUACUGGGAUUCGGUAUUGCAUGUACAGGAUAGGUGGGAGGCUAAGAACUUAUGGCGCCAGCCGUGAGGGAGCCGAUGUUGGGAUACCACCCCUGCAGUACUGGGUUUCUAACCUGCGCCCGUGACCCGGGCGGGGGACAAUGUCAGGCGGGGAGUUUGACUGGGGCGGUCGCCUCCGAAAGGGUAUCGGAGGCGCUCAAAGGUCUCCUCAGGAUGGUUGGAAACCAUCCAGAGAGUGCAAAGGCAGAAGGAGGCUUGACUGCGACACCGACGGGUGGAGCAGGUACGAAAGUAGGACUUAGUGAUCCGGUGGCAUAAAGUGGGAUUGCCAUCGCUCAACGGAUAAAAGCUACCCUGGGAUAACAGGCUUAUCACUCCCAAGAGUUCACAUCGACGGAGUGGUUUGGCACCUCGAUGUCGGCUCAUCGCAUCCUGGAGCUGGAGCAGGUUCCAAGGGUUGGGCUGUUCGCCCAUUAAAGCGGUACGCGAGCUGGGUUCAGAACGUCGUGAGACAGUUCGGUCCCUAUCCGGCGCGGGCGCAGGAUAUCUGAGAGGAGCUGUCCUUAGUACGAGAGGACCGGGAUGGACCGUCCGCUGGUGGACCGGUUGUCAUGCCAAUGGCACGGCCGGGUAGCCAAGACGGGAAGGGAUAAACGCUGAAGGCAUCUAAGCGUGAAGCCCCCCUCAAGAUGAGAUAUCCAUACUCGAAGGAGUGAGAGACCCCUUAGAGACGAUGAGGUAGAUAGGGCAGAGAUGGAAGCACAGCGAUGUGUGGAGUUGACUGUUACUAAUCGGUCGAUAGCUUCAAAA
Molecule: ribosomal RNA, 1507 nt
Filed under: metagenome
Description: bacterial LSU rRNA
Rfam family: Bacterial large subunit ribosomal RNA
Source: RNAcentral